CCCUUUUCUCUCUGAUUCACUUUUUAGAGGAUUAUGAAUAAUUUUUUUGAUGCCCAAAACAACAUAAAAUAACUAUCUUUUUCUGUUUUUCUGCGGUUAUAUCAUCUGGCCCUCUUUCAUUCUCCAAGAUCCAGGCUUACCCCGGUGAGUGUUGGUUGGAUUUUUGAAGUUCUAGCUUAAUAUUUAUGGGUGUAGAUAUAUGUGUUGUAUAGAUGUAAAUCUCUAUUCCUGUAUUGAUAAAUUGGAAGAAAUUUUGGCGCAUUGAUUCGAGAGAAGAGGAGACAGUUGACAGAGAUGUCAGAGGUUUUUUGUGAGGAGUGUGUGACAGAACCACUUGAGUUUAGUUCCAACAAGAACAUGUUAGAUGUUGUAUUUGAUAGUGUCGACCUUCUUCAAAAGAGUUCACAACGGAGGACGACAGUAAUGUGGACAGGCCUUGAUGCCAUUUAGUUCAUUAACCUUCUUCACAGCGCACUUCAAAUAUGGACACCAGAAUUGAAGUUCACUGCUAUCUUUCUCUGUAAUUCCUAGCGCUGUCGUUAAUGGACUGGUCAAUUUUUCUAUAUUGUCGCAAUAUGCGGAAAUAUGAGGUAAGAUCCAUGUUCGACAUCUCUGUUUCAUGUCAUUUGUUCAACUUCUUUAGGGUUAAUUUGUCUGCCUUCACACACUUGCUCCUAGAGUCAUUUACAUGAGCUAUUUCUCUUUCUUCCGAUGACAUAGCUUCUAUCUUUGAAAUUUCUCCAAUCAUUGGUCUUCCCAUGCAGUGUUAAACAAUUGAGGUGAGUAUCUCCUCUCUGCUAUUUGAUUUCAUUUGUUUUUCUUUUGUCUUUUGUGUCGGUCAGUUCUGCCGCCUUCAUUGCUCUAAUCAGAUUCAGAAUUUUGAGUACGAUAAAAUAUAGAAAAUUUAAUAUAAAACUCAAUUAAUAAUUAUUGAUAUGGGGACUUAUACCUCUUCACAGGAAAGGAAUAGAACAUUAAGUGGUAUUGAAUUUCUGACGGAUUUUGCAGGAGUGACAUUAGUUCUGGAGAAAGUGAUAGGAAAUUUGUAUCAAAUUUCUUGUUCUUUGUUUUAUUUAAUAGGUUUGGUCUCUUGCAAUCAUCGAUUUGCUAAUCUCUAUUAUCUGUAAGACAGCUAAGACAUGUAUUAUGUAUCGAUCAUUGUUUAUGACAUGCUCAACUGACUUGAUUACUUGAAGUUUCGUAUCAUUGAAAUAUAUGAUUUGUAAUGUUGUAAAAAGAUAUAUUCUAGGCUUAUGUUUACAAAAUCAAAUUUCUCCACUUUUCAGUUUCAUGUUGUGGCAUUAGAAUUUAUGUUCCUUAAUCUCCUGAGGUUUCUUCACCAUUUAUUGGAUCCUAGCUUUGACAAGCUUUCAAUGAUAAAAUUUGAAAUUUCCAAGGAAAAUUGAGACAUGGUUAAACCAACAAAUCAUGUCAAUUCUGGAGAUGGUCCUGACUACAAUAUUGAAGUCAUUGAUGUUUAUGAUAUUGUGUUGUGCAAAUUAAAUUGAACGUAACUAACUAACUGAUCGGCAAUGCAGUGAUAAAUGAUGAGAAAAAUACCAAAGGGAUGUGUGGGUGUUUCAGCUAAUAAUGCCUUCAUUUCAGAUGAAACCUCAUAUCUAAUCCUGAGAUUCUACAACUUUUCAUACAUGCGAUUACACAAUCAGACGAUUGCAAUGUGGCUGUAGGUGCGGUUAGAACUGAUAUUGAUUGUCUGUGUUUGUACCUUAUCAUUAACUUGAGCUAAUUUGCGCAACA
This is a long non-coding RNA of Solanum stenotomum, 1758 nucleotides long. RefSeq lists it as uncharacterized. The record is from RefSeq and is a predicted model, not a curated record. NCBI's taxonomy places the organism in Eukaryota, Viridiplantae, Streptophyta, Magnoliopsida, Solanales, Solanaceae. The transcript is spliced from 3 exons.